Long non-coding RNA from Oncorhynchus kisutch (coho salmon), 3189 nucleotides. NCBI's taxonomy places the organism in Eukaryota, Metazoa, Chordata, Actinopteri, Salmoniformes, Salmonidae. The record is from Ensembl.
CACGGACCUCUUUAUCAGAGACCAGCCCUGCACACACACACACACAGGUCAGAGACACACACACAGGUCAGAGACACACACACAGGUCAGAGAGACACACACAGGUCAGAGACACACACACAGGUCAGAGACACACACACAGGUCAGAGACACACACAGGUCAGAGACACACACACAGGUCAGAGACACACACACAGGUCAGAGAGACACACACACAGGUCAGAGAGACACACACAGGUCAGAGACACACACAGGUCAGAGACACACACACAGGUCAGAGACACACACACAGGUCAGAGACACACACACAGGUCAGAGACACACACACAGGUCAGAGACACACACACAGGUCAGAGACACACACACAGGUCAGAGAGACACACACACAGGUCAGAGAGACACACACAGGUCAGAGACACACACAGGUCAGAGACACACACACAGGUCAGAGACACACACACAGGUCAGAGACACACACACAGGUCAGAGACACACACACAGGUCAGAGACACACACACAGGUCAGAGACACACACACACAGGUCAGAGACACACACAGGUCAGAGACACACACACAGGUCAGAGACACACACACACAGGUCAGAGACACACACACACAGGUCAGAGAGUCACACAUACAGGUCAGAGAGACACACACACAGGUCAGAGACACACACACGGGUCAGAGACACACCACACGGGUCAGAGACACACACACAGGUCAGAGACACACACACACAGGUCAGAGACACACACACACAGGUCAGAGAGUCACACAUACAGGUCAGAGAGACACACACACAGGUCAAAGACACACACACAGGUCAGAGACACACACACAGGUCAGAGACACACACAGGUCAGAGACACACACACAGGUCAGAGACACACACACAGGUCAGAGACACACACACACAGGUCAGAGACACACACACACAGGUCAGAGAGUCACACAUACAGGUCAGAGAGACACACACACAGGUCAAAGACACACACACAGGUCAGAGACACACACACAGGUCAGAGACACACACACACAGGUCAGAGACACACACACACCAGGUCAGAGAGACACACACACAGGUCAGAGAGACACACACACAGGUCAGAGAGACACACACACACAGGUCAAGAGACACACACACAGGUCAGAGACACACACAGGUCAAGAAGAGACACCACACAGGUCAGAGACACACACACAGGUCAGAGACACACACAGGUCAGAGACACACAACACCACAGGUCAGAGACACACACACAGGUCAGAGACACACACAGGUCAGAGAGACACACACAGGUCAGAGACACACACACAGGUCAGAGACACACACACAGGUCAGAGACACACACACAGGUCAGAGACACACACACAGGUCAGAGACACACACACAGGUCAGAGACACACACACAGGUCAGAGACACACACAGGUCAGAGACACACACACACACAGGUCAGAGACACACACACACACAGGUCAGAGACACACACACACAGGUCAGAGACACACACACAGGUCAGAGACACACACACAGGUCAGAGACACCACACAGGUCAGAGACAACACACACAGGUCAGAGACACACACAGGUCAGAGACACACACACACAGGUCAGAGACACACACACACAGGUCAGAGAGACACACACACAGGUCAGAGAGACACACACACAGGUCAGAGACACACACACAGGUCAGAGACACACACACACAGGUCAGAGAGACACACACAGGUCAGAGACACACACACAGGUCAGAGACACACACACAGGUCAGAGACACACACACAGGUCAGAGACACACACAGGUCAGAGAGACACACACAGGUCAGAGACACACACACAGGUCAGAGACACACACACAGGUCAGAGACACACACACAGGUCAGAGACACACACACAGGUCAGAGACACACACAGGUCAGAGACACACACAGGUCAGAGAGACACACACAGGUCAGAGAGACACACACAGGUCAGAGACACACACACACACAGGUCAGAGACACACACACACACAGGUCAGAGACACACACAUAGGUCUGAGACACACACACAGGUCAGAGACACACACACAGGUCAGAGACACACACACAGGUCAGAGACACACACAGGUCAGAGACACACACACAGGUCAGAGACACACACAGGUCAGAGACACACACACAGGUCAGAGACACACACACAGGUCAGAGACACACACACAGGUCAGAGACACACACAGGUCAGAGACACACACAGGUCAGAGACACACCACAGGUCAGAGACACACACAGGUCAGAGACACACAAGGUCAGAGACACACAAAGGUCAGAGACACACACAGGUCAGAGACACACACAGGUCAGAGACACACACAGGUCAGAGACACACACAGGUCAGAGAGACACACACAGGUCAGAGACACACACACAGGUCAGAGACACACACACAGGUCAGAGACACACACACAGGUCAGAGACACACACACAGGUCAGAGAGACACACACAGGUCAGAGAGACACACACAGGUCAGAGAGACACACACAGGUCAGAGACACACACACACACAGGUCAGAGACACACACACACACAGGUCAGAGACACACACACAGGUCAGAGACACACACACAGGUCAGAGACACACACACACAGGUCAGAGACACACACACACAGGUCAGAGACACACACACAGGUCAGAGACACACACAGGUCAGAGACACACACAGGUCAGAGACACACACAGGUCAGAGACACACACAGGUCAGAGACACACACAGGUCAGAGACACACACACAGGUCAGAGACACACACACAGGUCAGAGAGACACACACACAGGUCAGAGAGACACACACACUGGUCAGAGAGACACACACACACAGGUCAGAGACACACACACACACAGGUCAGAGAGACACACACACAGGUCAGAGACACACACACACAGGUCAGACACACACACACAGGUCAGAGAGACACACACAGGUCAGAGACACCUCUCAGACUCGUACCAUUCUUCUGUCCAGUCAGCAGGAAGGAGGCAGAGAGGAGUCGCACACAGUGAACCAGAGGCUCCGCCCCUUGGUCUGUGUAGUGGCCAAUCGGACCCUUUAUCCUCGAUGGCUGGGGGAUGAAACAACAUUUAACCAAUCACAACCAGUCAAAAUAAGACAGACAACAACAUUAGCCAAUCAGAAAAGACAAAUGUGA